Molecule: long non-coding RNA, 640 nt
Organism: Oryza sativa Japonica Group (Japanese rice)
Lineage: Eukaryota; Viridiplantae; Streptophyta; Magnoliopsida; Poales; Poaceae
Source: RefSeq, a predicted model, not a curated record
CUUGUAUCCUUAGUGACAUAAUACAUUGGCUUCACUUGGUACGCAAAAUUUAGGCACUCAGCAAUGGAUGCAAGGGUUGCAACCUCUCUCUUCCUACUUGUACUUGUAAUUCAGGGGAAGCCAUCGUGUUCCGAGGAUUGUCUGGUGCUCCGUAUCCCCGACUUUGCAUGUCCCUAUGUCUUCCCACUGUGCAAGAUGACGUGCGGGAUGAGGGCAAUUGGUCACCACGGCAAGGUCAGGGAGUCAUGGUGCACAGGCAGAGGGAAUAGUGCCGUUUGCAACUGUACUAUUUGCAUGAAGUAAUCUACAAAUACUGUGGCGAAUAACUGAACGGUGCAAUAUAUAUGAAACUAUUUGCAAAUAAUAAUGAAUAAUAACAUUGUGGACUAUAUUGGACCCGCGUAUUAACACGGAGGGCUUUCUUCCCGCCUGGGCUAACAGGUGGUACGUGGGCCAAGUAGCGAUAUCAUGUUGCUGGAGGGGAUAAGGCCAAUUUGUAACCCAAUAUGUGGGUAGAUUAGAGAUAAGAUAUAAAUCUCUCUAUCCCGACUAUGCUGGAAGGAUGGAAAGGAACCACUUGUAAUUUGGAUUCCCACAUACAUAUAAGUGAAACAGGGAGACCCUCACAGGGACACAUCCA